This 418-nucleotide ribosomal RNA is filed under the name Rhodococcus ruber. RNAcentral describes it as "bacterial SSU rRNA". It matches the Rfam family "Bacterial small subunit ribosomal RNA", at positions 80 to 512 of the family's 1533-position model. The record is from RNAcentral. Lineage: Bacteria; Bacillati; Actinomycetota; Actinomycetes; Mycobacteriales; Nocardiaceae.
UUGCUGGGUGGAUUAGUGGCGAACGGGUGAGUAACACGUGGGUGAUCUGCCCUGCACUUCGGGAUAAGCCUGGGAAACUGGGUCUAAUACCGGAUAGGACCUCGGGAUGCAUGUUCCGGGGUGGAAAGGUUUUCCGGUGCAGGAUGGGCCCGCGGCCUAUCAGCUUGUUGGUGGGGUAACGGCCCACCAAGGCGACGACGGGUAGCCGGCCUGAGAGGGCGACCGGCCACACUGGGACUGAGACACGGCCCAGACUCCUACGGGAGGCAGCAGUGGGGAAUAUUGCACAAUGGGCGCAAGCCUGAUGCAGCGACGCCGCGUGAGGGAUGACGGCCUUCGGGUUGUAAACCUCUUUCAGUACCGACGAAGCGCAAGUGACGGUAGGUACAGAAGAAGCACCGGCCAACUACGUGCCAGC